GCUAGCGUACAGAAGUGGUCAUAACUGCCAUCACUUGAAAUGAUGUGUGACGGCUUGUAUCCGUCUCGUGAGUUCGAAUCUUACCGCUAGUGCCA
RNAcentral lists this transfer RNA (95 nucleotides) under Bacteriophage sp. RNAcentral describes it as "tRNA-Ser". It matches the Rfam family "tRNA". From Rfam's summary of the family: Transfer RNA (tRNA) molecules are approximately 80 nucleotides in length. Their secondary structure includes four short double-helical elements and three loops (D, anti-codon, and T loops). Further hydrogen bonds mediate the characteristic L-shaped molecular structure. tRNAs have two regions of fundamental functional importance: the anti-codon, which is responsible for specific mRNA codon recognition, and the 3' end, to which the tRNAs corresponding amino acid is attached (by aminoacyl-tRNA synthetases). tRNAs cope with the degeneracy of the genetic code in two manners: having more than one tRNA (with a specific anti-codon) for a particular amino acid; and 'wobble' base-pairing, i.e. permitting non-standard base-pairing at the 3rd anti-codon position. The record is from RNAcentral.